AUUUUUAUGGAACUUUCUAAAUUUAAGGAACAGAAAUGAAACAAACAUCAAAGUUGAGGAAUGAUGGAUAAAAAUAACCCAGCCUUAACCUGUAGCAUUUUAAACAAUAGAACCUUAGUGACAGCUCUUCAAGUCAUUUAUUUUUUUACUUAAAAAAUGGCAAUCAAAAUGCAGAAGCAAUAUCAAAAAUGGCACAUUUGCCGAAUUCUAGCAUACCUGCUUAGUAAUGUGCUUCCAUG
Molecule: unclassified non-coding RNA, 239 nt
Filed under: Hevea brasiliensis (rubber tree)
Lineage: Eukaryota; Viridiplantae; Streptophyta; Magnoliopsida; Malpighiales; Euphorbiaceae
Source: RNAcentral